This 26-nucleotide non-coding RNA is filed under the name Rattus norvegicus (Norway rat). Lineage: Eukaryota; Metazoa; Chordata; Mammalia; Rodentia; Muridae. The record is from RNAcentral.
UGCAGAGGACAGAGCCACUACUGGGU